Molecule: ribosomal RNA, 1344 nt
Filed under: Ellochelon vaigiensis (squaretail mullet)
Lineage: Eukaryota; Metazoa; Chordata; Actinopteri; Mugiliformes; Mugilidae
Description: partial 16S ribosomal RNA
Rfam family: Bacterial large subunit ribosomal RNA
Source: RNAcentral
GAACACCCCAGUACAAGCCAAAAAAGCAGAGAUUCUCCCUCGUACCUUUUGCAUCAUGAUUUAGCAAGUAUACCCAAGCAAAAAGUAUUUUAGUUUGACCCCCCGAAACCAAGUGAGCUACUCCAAGACAACCUAUCAUUUAGGGUAAACCCGUCUCUGUGGCAAAAGAGUGGGAAGAGCUUCGAGUAGAGGUGACAGACCUAUCGAACUUGGUAAUAGCUGGUUGCUUGAAAAACGAAUAGAAGUUCUGCCUCUUAUAUUCUCCCCCCGCUCUGGCCAUUUAAGCCUCCCUGCAGGUAAAAGAAGAUAAGAAAGUUAGUCAAAGGGGGUACAGCCCCUUUGAAACAAGAUACAACUUUUCUAGGAGGGUAAAGAUCAUAAUCUUUAAGGUAACUAUGUUUUGGUGGGCCUAAAAGCAGCCAUCCCAUUAGAAAGCGUUAAAGCUCUAACAUAUUCCUUCCCUCGAUCCCGAUAAUAAAUCUUAACCCCCUUACCAUAUCAAGCCGUCCCAUAGUGACAUGGGAGUGAUUAUGCUAAAAUGAGUAACCAGAGAGUAUAUACCUCUCUCCCUGCACACGUGUAAAUCGGAACGGACCCUCCACCGAAAUUUAACGGCCCCAAAUAACAGCGGGCACUGAAUGACAAACAACAAACAAGAAAAUCAUUCAAAACACUGCCGUUAACCCCACACUGGUGUUCUUCAAAGGAAAGACCAAAAGGAAAAGAAGGAACUCGGCAAACACCUCAAAGCCUCGCCUGUUUACCAAAAACAUCGCCUCUUGUUAACCACACAUAAGAGGUCCCGCCUGCCCUGUGACCCCUGUUCAACGGCCGCGGUAUUUUGACCGUGCAAAGGUAGCGCAAUCACUUGUCCCUUAAAUGAGGACCUGUAUGAAUGGCACGACGAGGGCUUAACUGUCUCCUUUCCCCGGUCAAUGAAAUUGAUCUUCCCGUGCAGAAGCGGGAAUAUUAACAUAAGACGAGAAGACCCUAUGGAGCUUUAGACUUUGGAACAGAUCAUGUCAGUUACCUCCUUAAACAAGUAAUAACCAUUGAACCUCUGCCUCCUGUCUUUGGUUGGGGCGACCACGGGGAAGAAAAAAACCCCCACGUGGACUGAGAGCACACUUCUCUCACAACCAUGAGCCACAGCUCUAAUGCACAGAAUUUCUGACCAUAAGAUCCGGCAAAGCCGAUCAACGAACCGAGUUACCCUAGGGAUAACAGCGCAAUCCCCUUUAAGAGUCCAUAUCGACAAGGGGGUUUACGACCUCGAUGUUGGAUCAAGACAUCCUAAUGGUGCAGCCGCUAUUAAGGGUUCGUUUGUUCAACGAUUAAAGUCUU